AUACCUUCUCGGCCUUUUGGCUAUGAUCAAGUGUAGUAUCUGUUCUUAUCAGUGUGACAACUGAUAUGGAUCCAACUGGAUCCAACAAUGUCACAUCAAUUUUUGUUUGGGGGAGUUGUGGUUUAGAGCUUGCUCGGACCCUCUCCAUGCGUCGCCUCAUCCUUACACUGUCGGUGUGAGUGGCGCACCCUUC
Non-coding RNA from Eimeria tenella, 193 nucleotides. NCBI's taxonomy places the organism in Eukaryota, Apicomplexa, Conoidasida, Eucoccidiorida, Eimeriidae. The record is from Rfam.